AACGUAAAGAACCUGCCUCAUAGACUGGGACAACUAUUGGAAACGAUAGCUAAUACCGGAUAACAGCAUUAACUGCAUGGUUGAUGUUUAAAAGUUGGUUUUGCUAACACUAUGAGAUGGCUUUGCGGUGCAUUAGCUAGUUGGUGGGGUAAAGGCCUACCAAGGCGACGAUGCAUAGCCGACCUGAGAGGGUGAUCGGCCACACUGGGACUGAGACACGGCCCAG
RNAcentral lists this ribosomal RNA (226 nucleotides) under uncultured bacterium. RNAcentral describes it as "partial 16S ribosomal RNA". It matches the Rfam family "Bacterial small subunit ribosomal RNA", at positions 114 to 334 of the family's 1533-position model. The record is from RNAcentral.